AUACCCUGGUAGUCCAUGCCGUAAACGAUGAAUGCUAGGUGUUGGAGGGUUUCCGCCCUUCAGUGCCGCAGCUAACGCAUUAAGCAUUCCGCCUGGGGAGUACGACCGCAAGGUUGAAACUCAAAGGAAUUGACGGGGGCCCGCACAAGCGGUGGAGCAUGUGGUUUAAUUCGAAGCAACGCGAAGAACCUUACCAGGUCUUGACAUCUUUUGAUCACCUGAGAGAUCAGGUUUCCCCUUCGGGGGCAAAAUGACAGGUGGUGCAUGGUUGUCGUCAGCUCGUGUCGUGAGAUGUUGGGUUAAGUCCCGCAACGAGCGCAACCCUUAUGACUAGUUGCCAGCAUUUAGUUGGGCACUCUAGUAAGACUGCCGGUGACAAACCGGAGGAAGGUGGGGAUGACGUCAAAUCAUCAUGCCCCUUAUGACCUGGGCUACACACGUGCUACGA
Molecule: ribosomal RNA, 448 nt
Filed under: Lacticaseibacillus casei
Lineage: Bacteria; Bacillati; Bacillota; Bacilli; Lactobacillales; Lactobacillaceae
Description: bacterial SSU rRNA
Rfam family: Bacterial small subunit ribosomal RNA
Source: RNAcentral